GGAUGUAGGAGCAGACUGGCUGUGACAGUAAGUGUCGGGGCAAUUCGCUAUUGGCUGGAUGACUGCCUGGCUUAAUAUCCCCUUCCUCCUACCAUGCCAUUGGCAUCCUUUCUCAAGCUGCAGACUCAAUAGAAGAUAAUGACUUUCCCCGAUACUAGAUGGUCUUUUUUAGUUAUGGUUUAUUCUUUA
This 189-nucleotide small nuclear RNA is filed under the name Myotis brandtii (Brandt's bat). RNAcentral's name for it is "7SK RNA". It matches the Rfam family "7SK RNA", at positions 1 to 200 of the family's 331-position model. Rfam says of the family: 7SK was discovered as an abundant small nuclear RNA in the mid-70s but a possible function has only recently been suggested. Two independent studies have found that 7SK RNA binds the CDK9/cyclin T complex (known as elongation factor P-TEFb). Lineage: Eukaryota; Metazoa; Chordata; Mammalia; Chiroptera; Vespertilionidae. The record is from Rfam by way of RNAcentral.